This 7884-nucleotide long non-coding RNA is filed under the name Lactuca sativa (garden lettuce). RNAcentral describes it as "long non-coding RNA (LSAT_LNC004221)". The record is from RNAcentral. Lineage: Eukaryota; Viridiplantae; Streptophyta; Magnoliopsida; Asterales; Asteraceae.
CUCCUUAACUAGAACUCCUAACUAACUAAAUAACUAGUAGUUAGUUAGUUAACUAACUCUAUCUCUAAGCAACCACCCAAGCAAGUGGCUAGACAAGAUCACAUCACUUAAACUCACAUCCCAUCACAAGCUAGUCUAGGUUUUGUCCCCUUAUCCUCUUCCACCCUUUCCUCCUUCAUAAUCACGAAAUUUCCUCUUCAUUUUACCCUCAUUUGACCAGACAAUACUCCAGGGAAUUACUCUCAACCUUCAUCUCAUUUUCAAGCACAAGAACUUCCUUCCAAAGCCAUCAAAACCAUGAACUAAAGGGCUGCUGUCCCUUUUGUGUUUCAGCCACCAUUUCACCCAUCUACACCUUCCUUUUGCUUGAUAUUUUUACCACCAAAUACCCCUGGAAGUUACUUGUUAUGAUACUCAAAAUUAUUGAUUCAAAACAGUGAGUAAACUACCCUUUUUCUUGCUCUUUUGCUGUGAAAUUUCGUGACAGCAACAUAGCCAAAAGAGUGGCUGUUUUGGAGCAUCAAACCAACAACCAAAAGUUCAUCUUCAACCUUCCAUUCUUCAAGUAUUCACAUAAGGUGAGUUCAUACCCCUACAUUUUCAUGUUUUAUUCAAGUUUUAAGGGGGGGAAUACAAGUUAGAACACUAAACAUAACUUAAAUUUAAAUGACAGCUUUCUACAGAAAAGUUGAGUCUUGUUCACGGACUGUUUUGACCAUCUUAAACUUAAUAUCUUUCAAAACUGUACAAUAUGGAAAUAGUUCAAGUUAUAACUUUCUAAGGACUACUCGCACGUGUUCAUACGAUUUUUCUACAAUUUAUGGCGAUUUUUAUAAAACUUCCUGUCAUUUCAGAAGCGAUUUCGGACCAGUCUGUGAAGAUGUUCAUUUCACACUAGUUUGAGACCACUAAAAAUACUAAUAAAAAUUAGGAACAAAAUAGACUCAUUUUAUAAACUCUCAGAGGUGAUGGAUUCAGUUUUUCACUUACGACGAUUUUUCUAUGAGUUUUCUAAAAACAGGGACAGUAAAGGGUAAAACUGUCAAAAGUGGUUUAUAGAUUUAUUAACACCUUCUAACAUUUUUGAGCAAUGUUUAUACAUUGAGGAAGUUAGAACACAAUCAUUUAAAUAUGUUUAAUUACCAUUUUUACAAAAGUGAUAAGUACAAAAAGGUCUUUAGUAUCAAACUUAAGGAUUAUUUCAUGCAAAGUUUCUAAUAAAAACGUAAGAAUAUGAACAACAAUUACGAAACAUACCAAAUCAUCUUUUAAAAUUUAUACAUAUAUAUAACCAUAUACAUAUAUAUGUUUUGUUUACAAAACUUCUUUAUGCUUUUAUAUUAUAAAUUGCAUGCCUCUAUAUGUAUAGUUAUAUAAGAAAUGUUUAAAAGACUUAGAAAGGCUAUCCACCCUGUUUCCUUUUCCUCGAUUUGGAUGUGGUCUGGUGGGAUAUCGGGUACUCCUCCGAAGGUCGUUUAAAUAUUAGUUAUAUAUCAUGUAUACAUAUAUGGUCAUAAAUGUUCCACCAGUUAAUUUAGUUUCGAUACUCCUGGGUAGCAAAGGUGUAUAAACCUACUUGGACACUCAUCAAUUACAUUCUAGUAAACUAUUAUAGGAAUAGUUUAGAGUAAACAAAACAUUUUCACUACUACAAGAAAUUACACCAGAGUCAGUUCAUUCAUGAGUCCAGACUACAUGUUAUAUGAAGGAAUACUUUUACAUGAAUACUUAUACAUGAAUACUUUUACAUAAACAUUAUAUGGCAAAUUACUACUACAUGUUAUAUGAAGGAAUACUCUUACCUGAAUACUUAUACAUGAAUACUUGUACAUGAAUACUUUUACAUAGACAUCAUAUGGCAAUUUAAUAUUACAUGUUAUAUGUCUAGAUACGGUUAUAUUGUUCGCCUUUCUAUCUUUACCUUGUGAUUCAAUCACAUCAUCGACGAGGUAGACUGGGACUUUAUCUCCUAGUACCACAUCAUACUUUGAGGGACUAACCAUUCCGAUAACCACUGCUAGCUACAGAGGUAAAUGAACAAUCUACGGAUGUUCUAGGUUGAUACCAUCGUGGGUAUACAGAAGGGACUAACUAUUCCNUUCAUAUUUUGGCAUCAUAUUGUAAUUGGUUUUGAACAUGUACCUUUUAACAAUGUAAACUUUCAAUUAUAUAUAUGAUGGUUGUAUUGCUUUCUUUACUAUGUAUUCAUUUGUUACGUUACCACAUGAAGUCAUCCGCCCCCGAACGUUUCCGCCGUUCCGGUUUGGGGGUGUGACAGAUUGGUGUGAGAGCAUUGUUUAUAGUGAGCCAAGUAUAUCAAACGACAUAAGAUAUACUAACUAUAAAUACAUAGGGACUAAAACUCUCUGACUUAACAAUUUCAAAACAGGAACAUUAGGGGUCCUUUGCUGUUAAGUCUAUGUUUGCUAAGUGUAUACGUUAAGGUGGUAUAUACUAAAAGUUUUAUAGACUUAGAAUUUGUGAUUUUCACUUUACUUCUUGUUCCUUGUUUGGAUGCAGAGAUAAGGUAAGAUCACUUAUUCGACUGACCAUUUAAUCUUGACUGUAUAUGACCUGUAUACACAAGGCAACCAUAGAAGGACCAGGAAUGGACCGAGAUUUCACGAAAAAUGUAAGUACAUACAAACAUACUAGUAAGGAGUCAUAUUGGCAACAAAACAAAAAGUAUUAAGAUAAGUUAAACACUGCGAGUCAGCCUCGGGGUAUGUAAUCAUGUCUGGGAUGAAUAUAGCCUGAUCAACUAUAUUUAUCCAAGAAGUGACCAACGUAUGCCGAGGAAUGGUCGUAGUGAAUGACAAGUCUAAAAACUUACCAACAAACCAUACAAAGAAACUUUAACAUACAAAUUUAAAAUACUAUAGGAGUAUUUUGCGUUACAAUAGAACCACACACUUAGAUUCUUCAUAUGCUUCAUACCCCUAUUCUCGCAUAGGCAUAUUAGCUAGACUUCAUCUCCACAUAGACCCCUACUAUCCUGCCACCGAAGCCAAUAGAUGGAUCAAGAAGGAUCCAGAAGAAGAUUUCGAAGAGUACCAAUAGAUGAAAUACGAGGAAGAAGAUUUCCGAGAAGGGACCAGAUGGAGAAAGAAGUUCGGGAGAUACCAUCAAUAAACCUUACCCUAUCAAGAGGAGUGUGAGAACCUCCACCUCUCAUUUCAGGAAGCAACCCGCAAUUAACUACCUAGCCACACAUAUAGACUGGAGAGGACAACCGAUGAUCCACAACCGACAUAAACUCACUGCACCGUACUUAGGGCCAUAGCACCCAUAGACUGGCAAGCAGAUCAAGAGAACAAUACAGAUCACCUACACUCCUUAGAAAAGGAGAUAGUCGUUAUAGGACAAAGAACCCUUACAGCUACAACCUGGACAGUCAUCACAGAACUGAGAACAGAGGAGGCCACUCGCGAAAUAGAAUCAUGCCGACACAUGAAGGUAAUCAGCAUACUGGUGCAACACUAGUUCUAUAAAUAGACCCUACAACAUUUCAAAUUGCGGUAACAGCCGCCGUGACAACAGUCAUGGCACACCUCGGCGCUAGCAACACAAACAAAAGUGGGAACGGCGCCGAAAAUUCCAAUUGUAAUAACAACCAGGGACACCCCGAGUAUGUUCCUGCAACGACGCCCCAGAUCAAGGACCUACGAAAAGACAACAAACAGUGACAUUCCAUACCACCACCAUCCCUACUACCUCAGUGCCGACAAGACCAUAUGUUGGAAACCUGCCAAAAUGCACCAAGUGUAGCUUUCAUCACAAAGGAAAGUGCAGGGAAAUGCACUGCAAGAACUGUAAUGAAAAGGGGCAUACCACAAAUUUAUGUAGGGUGCCGGCUCAACAGACCGCCCAGAACACAAAAGCUGGGAUGAGUCGGACUUGCUACAGAUGUGGAGAAGUAGGANAAUGCACCAAGUGUAGCUUUCAUCACAAAGGAAAGUGCAGGGAAAUGCAUUGCAAGAACUAUAAUGAAAAAGGGGCAUACCACAAAUUUCUGUAGGGUGCCGGCUCAACAGACCGCCCAGAACACAAAAGCUGGGAUGAUUCGGACUUGCUAUAGAUGUGGAGAAGUAGGGCAUUUAAUAAAGGAGUUCCUGGAGACUAAAAACAAAGAUGUCAGGAGCGCUGGAAGUGUUUUAGCAACAGAGCGUGGGAAAGCAGUAAUAGACCCUGCUGAGAUUCCGGUACGUUCAUUCCCGAUAGCACAUAUGCAUGGAUACUAUAUAAUAGCAACGCGGAGAGGAGUAUUGUGAGUCGUAGAUUUAAUCAAUUUCUCAACCAAAAACCUCAAAAACUUAAACGAAAUAUUUACAGUAGAAUUGGAAUAAUCAAAAGCACUAGAGACGUGUACAUAGGGUGCACUCUAACACUAAAUCAACCAAUUCAUUCAAAUCAUCCUAAAACCGGUCACAAUAAAAAUUUACGACAUUUUCAUUUUAACAACGUAUUAGUUAGUUUCUUCACCAUACCGAUAUCAUAUAUUACGAAAAGGCCAUUCGCCUAAACCCAUCGAGUAAUAGAACCCUCGUUAUCUAUGGCGACAAACCGGACACAAACCCCUAACUCACCUUUUACAACAAGACUCAGAAGUACCUACACAGGAGGUACCACGCCGUCCUAGCCCGUGUUGUGGAUAAGAAACAACAAGAGAAAGACAUCAUGGAUUUUGAAAAAGCCCGUAACCUUCUCGAUAUAUUCCGAGAAGAUCUCCUGGGAAUACCAUCCAUACGACAACCCGAGUUCAAAAAUCAACCUAAGUGCAGUAGUUGUGGAAAAGGGUUGUUGUAAAUGCCAUCUCACCCAAGUUAAUCACCCCACUCAAGUAGAGACUAUGGACCCAUACUAGUGAAUCUAUGAUUACUAAGUGUAUAUAUUGGAGCCCUAUAUAAUUAAGAUUCUACGGACUUAGGGUUGGUAAUUCCGCUUUAAAUCCUUUUCCUUGUUUGGAUGUGGGCUUAGAAUAGAAUCACCGAUUCGACUGUCUUUUCAAUCUUAAUUAUAUACGACUUAUAAACACAAAGAGAUGAUAGAUGAAUCAGUUAUGAGUCAUACCAUGAACUACAUGACAAGUUACCCAGGACAGUGGAUGGACAUGCUACCACUUGAACGAUCGUAGACAAAUCAACCAAACCCACACACUUUUUACAGACCAAGGCUACAAAGAAAAAUAGAAAAGCUGACAGGAGCAAAUCACAAGAAGAUUGCGAGACUGCAAAGUAUACCACUAUCUAUCAUUUUGGAUAAGGGACAGGUGAUUCGCCUCGUGUUUUCGAUAUUCGUUAAAGAAGUCCUUAAUAUCACCCUCAAACUGACAGACAAAGCGGAAGAACCAUUCAUCGAAUCCUUAUACAACAACAACUAUUACAUUAAUAUCAAAGUCCCGUCAAUCGAAGCUCUCUACAGAAGCAAGUGUAGAUCGCCUCUAUGCUGGGAUGAGGUAGGUCACACGCAACUAGGUAAGGGACAAGUUACUAACAACACUCUCACCAGCCCCCAGAUCAUACGAGAAACUAUAGAGAAGAUUGUUCAAACCCGUGAACAAUUGAAGGCAUCCCAGGAUCCGAAGAAGAGCUUGUCUGAUGAGACUUUUGUUAUUCCACUUGACGAAAUUGAAGACAACGAGAGUCUAAACUUCAUCGAAGAGCCGGUGAAAAUCAUGGGUCAGGAGGUCAAAAGGGCUAAACAAAGCCGCAUACCCAUAGUAAAGGCCCGUUGGAACGCCAAGCGAGGACCUGAAUUCACUAGGGAACGCGAGAAUCAAAUAAAAAAAACAAACACCCUCAAUUGUUUAGUGAUAUCCCGUCUAAAAGUUGAAUUUCAGGGCGAAAUUCUUUUAAUGGGGGGAGAAUGUAACAAUUAGUAAAAAUAGGAAUGAUCGUACGAUGCUAUGUUUUGAUUACUAAGCAAUAUGAGUAUUUUAUCAAGAAUGGUUGAAGGAAUUUAACCUCCUUUAUUUAAAUAAGUUCUUGUGAAAUAUAAAACAAGUAACUAAUGAUAAUUUCGUUAUGAUGUAUGACUACGAACCAUCACCGGUUUGUGAAAAUUAGCAUAUAACAUCAUUUGAACGCAACAAACUUAAUUUUUGUAUCAACAUGUAUCUAGUUGAUAAUUAAGUUAGGUUCUAUGUAAAACGUGUGCUUAAUAGUUUUGGAGGAUCUAAAUUUGACAAAUAUACGAACCAAAGUGACAAAACGUGUUUAACGAUAUGGUUAACCGGUUAAAUGUCACAAAAUUAUACAUUGGUCAAUAAAUUUUAUAUUUAAAUAAAUUAAAAUAUAAAAUGAAUUAUUAUAAGGUAUAAUUAAAAUGUAUUUAAGUGUUUUUGAAUAAAAAGAAUAAAACAUAAACAUUAAAGUUCAAAUACACAAAAACUACAUUGUUAUUUUAUACUAAGUAUACAUGUAUGUAUUUGUACAUAUGUAUUAUUAUCUAGUGAAUGACUAGUAACGGGUCAUGAUUUAAGUGAUUUCAUGUAAGGAAUAUGAUUCUAAAUCAAUUAAGAUAAGAGAAUUGGUGUAGAUAUGUACCACAUAACUAAUAAGUGCUUAAUCACUUAAGACAUUUUACUAAGAAUGCUUAUUAAUCCCUCUUCUAAUUUUCGAGAUUAAGACCUUCCAUCUCCUUAACUAGAACUCCUAACUAACAAAAUAACUAGUAGUUAGUUAGUUAACUAACUCUAUCUCUAAGCAACCACCCAAGCAAGUGGCUAGACAAGAUCACAUCACUUAAACUCACAUCCCAUCACAAGCUAGUCUAGGUUUUGUCCCCUUAUCCUCUUCCACCCUUUCCUCCUUCAUAACCACGAAAUUUCCUCUUCAUUUUACCCUCAAUUCAUCAGCCAAAACUCCAGGGAAUUACUCUCAACCUUCAUCUCAUUUUCAGCCACAAGAACUUCCUUCCAAAGCCAUCAAAACCAUGAACUAAAGGGUUGCUGUCCCUUUUGUGUUUCAGCCACCAUUUCACCCAUCUACACCUUCCUUUUGCUUGAUAUUUUUACCACCAAAUACCCCUGGAAGUUACUUGUUUUGAUACUCAAAAUUAUUGAUUCAAAACAGUGAGUAAACUACCCUUUUUCUUGCUCUUUUGCUGUGAAAUUUUCGUGACAGCAACAUAGCCAAAAGAGUGGCUGUUUUGGAGCAUCAAACCAACAACCAAAAGUUCAUCUUCAACCUUCCAUUCUUCAAGUAUUCACAUAAGGUGAGUUCAUACCCCUACAUUUUCAUGUUUUCUUCAAGUUUUAAGGGGGGGAAUACAAGUUAGAACACUAAACAUAACUUAAAUUUAAAUGACAGCUUUCUACAGAAAAGUUGAGUCCUGUUCACGGACUGUUUUGACCAUCUUAAACUUAAUAUCUUUCAAAACUGUACAAUAUGCAAAUAGUUCAAGUUUAUAACUUUCUAAGGACUACUCGCACGUGUUCAUACGAUUUUUCUACAAUGUAUGGCGAUUUUUAUAAAAUUUCCUGUCAUUUUAGAAGCGAUUUUGGACCAGUCUGUGAAGAUGUUCAUUUUCACACUAGUUUGAGACCACUAAAAAUCAUAAUAAAAAUUAGGAACAAAGUAGACUCAUUUUAUAAACUCUCAGAGGUGAUGGAUUCAGUUUUUCACUUACGACGAUUUUUCUAUGACUUUUCUAAAAACAGGGACAGUAAAGGGUAAAACUAUCAAAAGUGGUUUAUAGAUUUAUUAACACCUUCUAACAUUUUUGAGCAAUGUUAUACAUUAAGGAAGUUAAAACACAAUCAUUUAAAUAUGUUUAAUUACCAUUUUUACAAAAGUGAUAAGUACAAAAAGGUCUUUAGUAUCAAACUUAAGGAUUAUUUCAUGCAAAGUUUCUAAUAAAAACGUAAGAAUAUGAACAACAAUU